Molecule: unclassified non-coding RNA, 305 nt
Filed under: fungal sp.
Lineage: Eukaryota; Fungi
Description: partial internal transcribed spacer region
Rfam family: Eukaryotic small subunit ribosomal RNA (bases 1-46)
Source: RNAcentral
AAGUCGUAACAAGGUUUCCGUAGGUGAACCUGCGGAAGGAUCAUCAUCAAUUUCAUAUCCCCCCCUCACCGGGGUGGGGGGAUCCAUGAUAAACCCUUCUGUGCACCGUAAACCGUUCACUUUGGCAGGCUUUGGUGGUGAGCGUGAGCUCCCCGCCAACCUCGCCUUCUCCCUCUCCCGAGGGCGAUCGUGAGGCGGCCUGCCGGAGUCCUGCAAUUAAAAACGCGUUUCGAACUAGACUGAAAAUUUCCUUUGAGAAAUCAAAGAACCUAAAACAACUUUCAACAACGGAUCUCUUGGCUCUC